Molecule: RNA transcript, 4206 nt
Organism: Rosa chinensis
Lineage: Eukaryota; Viridiplantae; Streptophyta; Magnoliopsida; Rosales; Rosaceae
Gene name: probable LRR receptor-like serine/threonine-protein kinase At3g47570
Exons: 7
Source: RefSeq, a predicted model, not a curated record
UCUAUUAUUAACAUUCUCUUUUCGGAGUAGUGCGUGUGUGUGUAUAUAUGGACAUCGAGGGCCAGUUUCUCUUGUAAUUAACUCUCCUUAGUCUCGGUUACAAUUCCAAACAUUUUGCAUUUCCAUCUCUCCAUCUCCAGCCACAUAUAUUCACACAAUGGAAAGAAUUACUUGGUUCUUCCUGGCCGUGGUUAGCUGCUUAACCAUGGCAGCAGCACAAACCAAUAGUAAUCUCACCACAGACAAGUAUGCUCUUCUUGCUCUCAAAGCCUGUAUCACCAGUGAUCCGCAGAACAUUAUUUUCACCAACUGGUCAACCACCACCCCUGUUUGCAAUUGGGUUGGUGUCACUUGUGGUGCACGCCAUCAUCGAGUCGCAAGCCUAAACCUCUCUUACAUGGGACUCACAAGCACCAUUCCUCCGGAACUUGGCAACCUUUCAUUUCUUGUUAGGCUAAGCUUUAAAAAUAAUAGUUUUCACGGUACCUUGCCUCCAGGGUUGGCUCGUCUGCGGAGAUUAAAGUUCAUUACCUUUGGUUUCAACAACUUUAUGGGUAUCAUUCCGUCAUGGUUCGGGUCCUUAUCAAAACUUCAAGCCUUUUAUUUGUAUGGUAAUCAGUUUUCGGGUUACAUACCCAGUGCCAUCUUCAACUUAUCAGCACUCGAAGUAAUUGAUUUGAAGUAUAACUAGCUAUCAGGUAGCAUACCCGCUGCCAUCUUCAACUUAUCAGCACUCGAAGUAAUUAAUCUGAGCUAUAACCAGCUAUCAGGUAGCAUACCGAGAGAAAUCGGAAACCUAACAGUGUUGAAGGAGAUAUACCUUGAUAGUAAUAAUUUCAAAGAACUUCCGAAUGAGAUUGGCAAUUUGGAUCAAUUAGAAGAAUUGUAUGUGCAAAACAAUGCCUUACAAGGGCCUCUUCCUAUGGUUGUCUUCAACAUGUCGUCUUUAACAACUUUGACUUUCUUUGGAAACAACUUGACUGGUAGUCUUCCGGACAAUAUAUGUCAAUAUCUUCCGAGCAUUCAAACCUUGAGUUUGUCAAAAAACCAACUUGUCGGUCCACUCUCAUCCAAAUGGUCGCAAUGCAAACAACUUCUUUCAUUAGAAUUGGGGAUGAAUACUUUCAGUGGAAGCAUACCCACCAAUAUUGCCAAUUUAACCCAAAUACAGCAGAUUGUCCUUCGCACAAACUAUUUGACAGGUACUAUACCACAUGAGAUUGGUUAUCUUCCGAAUUUGGAGGCAUUGAGCCUCGGAACUAAUAAUCUCAAUGGCGUCAUCCCAUUUCCAAUUUUCAAUAUUUCCACUAUAACAUUAUUAGAUCUUACUGCUAAUGAUCUCUUAGGUAGCCUCCCAACAAAUAUAGGCCUUGAGCUUCCAAACCUACUAGAGCUCUAUCUAGGAGGAAAUAAACUCAGCGGAGUAAUCCCCAAGUCCAUCUCCAAUGCUUCUCAGCUCACGAUCAUAGAUCUGGGAGAAAACUUCCUUUCCGGCUUUAUUCCUAGCACGCUAUGUACCUUAACAAAGCUUGAGGUGCUUUCCUUAUACCAGAAUAAUUUAACCCUUGAUACUUCUAUUCCAGAUGUAGAUAUUCUCUCUUGUCUGCCAAAUCUUAAAAAAUUGGUAGAAUUCCAAAUCAUAAACAAUCCAUUAAAUGCCAAACUUCCGAUUUCCUUUUGGAAUUUCUCUACAUCACUUCACAUUGUCAAACUAGGGAAUUGCAAAAUGAGAGGUAACAUCCCCAAUGAGAUAGGCCACUUGAGCAGCUUGAUACACUUAGAUCUGGGAGAAAAUGAACUAAGUGGACCAGUUCCGACCUCAAUGGGAAGAUUGCAAAACCUCCAAAUUUUGGAUUUGAGUGGUAACGAAUUGCAAGGACACAUUCCAGAUGAGCUUUGUCAACUGAACCAUCUUGGUGAGUUAUCAUUGUAUGGGAAUCAACUUUCAGGUUCAAUACCUUCAUGCUUGGGUAAUCUAACCGCAACCCUAAGAAAUCUAUUAUUAGGGUCUAAUAUGUUGAAUCUCUCAAUACCAUCUACCUUGUGGAGACUCACAGAUAUCUUGGAAUUAGACUUAUCAUCCAAUUCACUAAUUGGACCUGUCUCGGAAGGUGUUGGUAAUUUGAAAGUUGCCACCCUUAUAGAGUUAUCAAACAACCAAUUCUCUGGUAGUAUACCAAACAGCAUUGGGAGCCUUCAGAAUUUGGUCCAUCUCUCUUUGGCAAAUAAUAAUUUACAAGGACUAAUUCCAAGUUCAGUUGGCAAGUCGAUCAGCUUGGAAUUUUUGGAUUUAUCCAUAAACAAUUUGUCAGGAGUGAUUCCCAAGUCUCUUGAAUCACUCUCAUAUCUCAAGUAUCUGAAUUUGUCUUUCAAUAAACUCAAAGGAGAAAUUCCAACAGGCGGACCUUUCAAAAACUUUUCUGCUCAAUCUUUUGUUUCGAACCAUGGACUCUGUGGUGCAUCCCAAUUUCAUGUUCCACCAUGUAAAAGGAAAACUAGCAGAUCUAUCUUGAAAUAUGUCAUUCCAGGGAUCUUGUCACCGAUGCUUCUUUUGACCAUCUUAAUUUGGAUGGUCAUGUUAUGCAGAAAAAAGGAUGUGGAAGCUCCAACAGAGACUGCUCUUUUGGCUCAACUUGAAUGGAAAAGAGUUUCAUACAAAGAAAUUGCUAGUGCGACAAAUGGAUUCAAUCUAAGAAACUUACUUGGGAGGGGGGCUUUUGGUUCAGUGUAUAGAGGAAGACUGUCAGAUGGAAUAGAUGUUGCUAUAAAGGUUUUUAAUUCAGAGACAGAAAGGGCAUUUACAAGUUUUGAGGUUGAAUGUGAAAUGCUAAGCAAUCUUCGUCACCGAAAUCUUGUCAAAGUCAUUAGUUGCUGCAGUGAAAUUGAUUUCAAAGCUCUUAUACUGGGUUUCAUGCCUAAUGGGAGCUUGGAAAAGUGGUUGUAUUCUCAGAAUUGUUCUUUGAACAUGCGGCAGAGGUUGGAUAUAAUGAUAGAUGUUGCAUCGGCACUGGAGUAUCUCCAUCAUGGUUAUGAUGUAUCUAUUGUCCAUUGUGAUUUGAAGCCAAGCAAUAUACUACUAGAUGAUGAAAUGGGUGCACAUGUUUCUGAUUUUGGCAUUGCAAAAUUCCUAAAUGGAGGAGAUUCUAUGACUCAAACCAUGACCCUAGCCACAAUUGGGUAUAUGGCUCCAGAGUAUGGAAUGGAAGGAAAAGUUUCGAGAAAGGGGGAUGUGUAUAGUUUUGGUAUUGUAGUAAUGGAAACAUUCACAAGAAGGAAUCCAACAGAUGAAAUGUUUGUUGGGGAUAUGAGUUUAAAGCAAUGGGUUGCGAAUUCACUAUAUCAAGAUGCAAUAGUUGAUGUUGUUGAUGCCAAGCUACUUGGGACAGAGGAAGAUCAUGAUUUUGUGGGCAAGAGAGAAUGUUUAUCAUCCAUUAUGACAUUAGCUCUUGGUUGUUCAGCAGAAUCACCAGAAGAGAGGAUAAAUAUGCAAGAGGCUCUAGCCACACUCAAUAAAAUCAAGAUCAAGCUUAUAAAGGAAGUUCCAGGAAGUAUGCUUCCAAAGAAGUGAUGAAUACUAUAGGCUAUAGCAUAUCAUAUGGCAUUUGACUUGGUUCUAUCUUGUUGAAACUUGGAGAAGUGUAUAUUGUGUGAGAUUCGCCGGUUGAUGUAGUAUCUUAGUAAUUCCAGGAUAUGGCUUUGUAUUUUAUCUGCUGUUAUGAACAUACUUUGAAUCCAGGCAUCAGUCAAUAGCUACACACGAGUAGAGUACUGACUGAAAAUAUUCUAUGCUUGCACCGAUGCAUGCAAUAGUACAUGGAAUGGUGGAUAUAUUACUGCAGAUUUACCAGAAAAAAAACUAUAAAGAAGAUGUUGCAGCAAUGUAACAUCAAGAUCAAGUUUUUGAAGGACGCAGCAUUAGGUUUGGUCUAUGAACAGUCUUGUCCAGCAGACCUUCAAUUGGUGGAUUUCUAUAGAAUGUUUCAUGGCAUUUGAUUCAGUCUUUAAUUGAUGUACUAGUUUGAUGUGUCGGAUCUCCUAGUUAAGGUAAUUGGUUGGUAUUAAAAUAGCAAUUCAGUAAUUGUGCUGUUUCUGAAAUUACCUAAUCACUGUAUUUUCUUUUUUCUUCUACUUCUGAACAAUCACUGAUUCAUUGUAGAGCAUAUAUGACUGCUGUAACACAUGCAUGCAAUGGUAGAUGUAAUGAAA